RNAcentral lists this long non-coding RNA (1331 nucleotides) under Homo sapiens (human). RNAcentral's name for it is "non-protein coding lnc-PEX2-7:1". The record is from RNAcentral. Lineage: Eukaryota; Metazoa; Chordata; Mammalia; Primates; Hominidae.
AUAGCAGGUUAUUAUUCCAGCUGGAUAAAUCUGGAAACUGGGGUCAUAUUUAUAUAGCAGACGUGUUAGCUGUUUCCCUGCACCAGGUCAACCAAAGCAAAAACAAGUUAAGCGCUCAUUUUGCAAAGUAGCAUUAACAUUGGAAUUAUUGUAUAAUGGACCCUGACUAGGUCUUAUGUUUUAAAUUACUGGUCUCUAUCUCCUUUAGGUUUUUACAUCAUUUCUCAUUUUUCCAUUUCAUGGAAAAAUAACAAAAGCAAAACAACUUAGUUAAGAUUUAUAAGCAAGAAUGAAGUUGAAUAAUUGUCUCAAAAAUCAGAAAACAUCUAAAUUAGAGUAAACCUGAAUCAAUACAGAUGUAUUUCUAUCUACCAGUAUGGCCAGAAUGAGUCUUUGAAUUUAAGAACGUCUAUUUUUAAAUCUGAAUGAAAUGGAUGGAAAAAGAUUCACAAACCUGGGCAAAGCCAAUUACCACACUCAUUUCUUCCUGAUGAGCAUAUGAUAUCACUUCAAUUUUUUUUCUAGUAAUCUCAUAGACAACUGCCAUGAGUAACAAUCACAAACGUCUUACCACCAAAUAAAUGCCACUUCAGACAAAGCCCUGAAUGCCACAAGGGGCACUCAACAUUAUAAUGAUAAUGCCUCAUCAUUAUCUGAUGAUUCUCUGAUGAGCAACUUACAGGAUUUGGAGUCCAGAACUUGGAUGGGGGUCCAGAAUUUGGACUAGAGUCUGCUCCAGGGAAAGCUAAAACAACCAGUGCUUUUAUUCAGUCUGGUCCAAAAGUGGGCCACUUUGGAAAGGAGGACAGAAUUCUUAGUUUCACAGAAUAGCUGAUUCUGUCGUGUCUUCUCACAGGUAAAAACAUCAUUUUUUGUCAUUAUACUAUUCUGCUUAUUAAACUUAAAAUGAUGCAUUCUGAGAAAGAGGGCAUACAAUUUUACUCUGGUCCUCAAUAAAAGUUCUCAAUGCCAUUUCUAAUCCACAGUAAAAGAUAUAAAUAUAAAAGCAUAGAUGAAAUAAAUUAGAUAAUCAAAUGUAACUACUCAAUUGAUUUAAGAAAGUCCAAGUUUUCUAGAGUAGUGAAGUCAUAUCUUUACAUAGAUCAUUUAAAAAGCAAAUAUUAAAGUGAAAUCCAUCUUCCAGGAUUUAACAAUUAGGGAAUUUGAAGGGCCCAUUCUACUAUCUUUGUGGUUUAUCUUGUUUACACGUCUUUUGUAUCACCCAAACAGAUAUCAGGAGGAUGGGGACUCUGUUUUUCACUUCCAAACCACCUGUCAAAGCGCUAGAAUAAAAUAAGCACUUAAAAAUUAAAUCAACUUGAACAAAUAUA